GGCCCCAGGCUCACCUGUUGUGGAAGGAGAGUCUUCAACCAGACCCACCUUCACCACCUGCGAGGGAGAAGAGACCCUGCGUUAGGUCCACCCACCCAAGCCAGACACCUUCAGGUCAGCUGGACCCGGCGGUCACAACCGCACGCUGUUUGAUCGCAGGCUUUGAAACUCUCUGCCGAUUCUGAGCAGCUGGGAUCGUCAGGAGAGAAUCCACUCGUGCAAAGAUUGUCCCCUGACCAAACAGGAGGGGAGAGAGCCCCUUUCUCUCCGUGUCCCCGACUCUGAAGACAGAGCUACUCAUGUCUCGGACUCCUCUCCUGGCAACAGCUUUGCUUUCUUUUCCCUGGAGCCGGAGAACCAGUGCCCUGGAUAUCACCCCCUGGGACCCCAGAACUACAGGGAUCUUCCUCACCCAAGGAUUGAACUCAGGUCUCCUACAUUGCAGGCAGAUUCUUUACCGUCUGAGCCAUCAGGAAAGCCCCGUGUGUGUGUUGGCACGUGGAGCCCAGGGAAGCCAGAGUCCACCCCAGGUCCACUCACAACUUGUGCCUGCAGGUGAGCAUGGCCUCCGCCACGGGCAGCUGGUGCGUCACGGCCGCCCCACUGACGUACUGCAUCACCCGCCCCACCACGUCCAGUUGCUCUGCGGAGAAGCCGAGAUGUGGGCUGACUUACUUCAGUAGGCGAACCCGAGAAUCCUCCUUGAGCGCCCCCCUGCUGAGUCCCACCAGAAGACCCCAGGAGCUGAGGCAGAGAAAGGGCUCUAAAGACCCGCUGGUUUGAACCUAAGGAAUUUUUUAAACA
Molecule: long non-coding RNA, 804 nt
Organism: Bubalus bubalis (water buffalo)
Lineage: Eukaryota; Metazoa; Chordata; Mammalia; Artiodactyla; Bovidae
Exons: 4
Source: RefSeq, a predicted model, not a curated record